Long non-coding RNA from Oncorhynchus tshawytscha (Chinook salmon), 2924 nucleotides. NCBI's taxonomy places the organism in Eukaryota, Metazoa, Chordata, Actinopteri, Salmoniformes, Salmonidae. The record is from Ensembl.
CCAGUCCCUGCCUCUGAAAAACAUCCCACAGCAUGAUGCUGCCACCACUGCACUUCACCGUAGGGAUGGUGCCAGGUUUCCUCCAGACAUGAUGCUGCCACCACUGCACUUCACCGUAGGGAUGGUGCCAGGUUUCCUCCAGACAUGAUGCUGCCACCACUGCACUUCACCGUAGGGAUGGUGCCAGGUUUCCUCCAGACAUGAUGCUGCCACCACCAUGCUUCACCGUAGGGAUGGUGCCAGGUUUCCUCCAGACAUGAUGCUGCCACCACCAUGCUUCACCGUAGGGAUGGUUCCAGGUUUCCUCCAGACGUGAUGCUUGGCAUUAAAGUUAGAGUUCAAUCUUGGUUUCAUCAGACCAGAGAAUGUAGUUUCUCGUCACCUCCCUGACCAAGGCCCUGCUACCCAGAUUGCUCAGUUUGGGCAGGCGGCCAGCUCUAGGAAGAGUCUUGGUGGUUGCAAACGUCUCCCAUUUAAGAAUGAUGGAGGCAGUGUUCUUGGGGAUCUUCAAUGCUGCAUAAAUGUGUUGGUACCCUUCCCCAGAUCUGUUCCUCAACACAAUCCUGUCUCAGAGCUCUACGGACAAUUCCUUCGACCGCAUGUCUUAGUUUUUGCUCUGACAUCUACUGUGGGACCUUGUAUAGACCGGUGUGCGCCUUCCCAAAUCAUGUCCAAUCAAUUGAAUUUACCACAGGUGGACUUCAUCCUUGAUGUUUCUAAAAAUGGAUGGAAACAUGAUGCAAAGGGUCUGAAUACUAAGGUACUACAGAUGAUUAAUUUAUUAUAUAUUAGAAACAACCUGUUUUCGCUUUGUCAUUAUAGGGUAUUGUGUGUAGAUUGAGGGGGAAAACAAUAUUUAAUCAAUUUUAGAAGGCUGUAACGUAACAAUGUGGGAAGAGUCAAGGGAUCUGAAUACUUUCCGAAUGCAUUGUGUGAACAAAAUAAAUGACAUGGCCGGCUGCCCAUGAGCAUGUUUAAAAAAUUGCACAAUUGUUCUGUUGUCAAUCAUUUAUAUUGAGUAUUUGGCUGACCAGUGGGCAACGGCCAGACUCCCUACCAAGAUGCCCGCUUUUCUGGUUGGAUGAGCUGGCGCAAUUUCACAUUCAAAGUCAGUGAGACCCGCUCUGACUGUUCGGGCUCAGGCGCGAAGUGUUUAGGCCACUCAAGCUCACAAAAUGAGACCACCGAUGCAAUCUUCGCUCUCUCCCACUACUCUUCCAUCCCAUCCACUUCCUUCUGUGAAAUACUCCCUUCUGUCUCUUGACUGCCUUUUCAACCCGACUCUCCUCCCAUCCUUUGACACCAACUGUCCCCUUUCCUCCCGGGCAGCCCGAUCCUCCUCUCCAUGACUGAGUGACUCACUACGUGCUAACAGAACAGGGUUGCUAACAGAACAGGGUUGCUAACAGAACAGGGUUGCUAACAGAACAGGGUUGCUAACAGAACAGGGUUGCUAACAGAACAGGGUUGCUAACAGAACAGUUACACAGAACUGGAAGAAAACUAAACUUCCGGAGGACCUAUCAUCCUUCCACUCUCUCUACGUAGCAAGUACGCACGAUUACAUGUGAGUACUGUGUAGAAAGUGUGAAGAGGCUGUAAGAAAAGAAACUUGUAUUUUAUUACAUUUGUUUAUUGGUGUUUUGUAUUCUUGGCAGUGGGUCCAGGCCAAGGCCGGACUGUCUCCUGAACUCGCCGUUUAACAGAUCCGGAGAUUGGAGGGAUGAGAGAGUGGGCAGAAACGGUUAAGGUAGGAGAGGUUGGGGCAGGGCUGGUUAAGGUAGGAGAGGUUGAGGCAGGAAUUUUUAAGGUAGGGGAGGUUGGGGCAGGGCUGGUUAAGUCAGGGGAGGUUGAGGCAGGGCUGGUUUGUGAUGGCUGGGUGGAAUGGGUUGUGAUUACCGGUAAUGGGAAUGGGGAAAAUAAGAAAUCAAAGUGUGGUGCAGUAGGUGAUAUUAAUGUGAGGGGACUGGACAUGGAGGCUGAUGGUGUUCCCAGAGGAAGGGUGGGGGAGGCACUGACAGUUCUUGAACUCACAGGCGUCUGGUGUUCUAGGGCGACUGACCCAGAGACAGAGAGCUGCCGAAGCGCCUCCCCUUCCCCCAGGCGAUCCUUCUCCAUCUUGAGGCGCUCCCUCUCCACCUGCAGGCGCUCUGUCUCCACCCUCAAGCGCUCUCUAUCCAGCUGGAGCCGGUUCUUCUCCACAUCCAGGUGUGCCUUCUGUGUUUCAUGUGCUUUUUCUAAUAAAUCAUAAAGAGCUUGGUGGAUGUGCUGGGCGGUCUGUGUAACAUGGAUUUGUUGCGUUUGUGUCUCCAGGAUUUGUUGGAGCAGAUUGGCUUGGGGGCCUUGUGGUGUCCAGCCAGACGUGAUGGGUUGGGGUGUAGAGUCAGAGUGGAUGGAGUGAGCUGGUGCAGGACAGGAGGUGAUGGGUUGGGGAGCAAAGCCAGAGUGGAUGGAAUGAGCUGGUGCAGGACAGGAGGUGAUGGGUUGGGGAGCAAAGCCAGAGUGGAUGGAAUGAGCUGGUGCAGGACAGGAGGUGAUGGGUUGGGGAGCAAAGCCAGAGUGGAUGGAAUGAGCUGGUGCAGGACAGGAGGUGAUGGGUUGGGGUGCGGUGCCAGAGAGUGCAUCUGCAUUGCUUGCUAUUUGGGGUUUCAGGCUGGGUAUCUGUAAAGCACUUUGUGACAACUGCUGAUGUAAAAAGGGCUUUAUAAAAUAAAUUUGAUUCAUUGAUUGAGAGUGGAUUGAGUGAGCUGGUGCAGGACGGGAGGUGAUGGGUUGGGGUGGCACUGUUGGUGCUGGCCAAGGUGUUGAUGGUGAGGUGGAGGGUAGCUCCUCCAUGGUGACAGAGGGUAAAGCUGCCUCCACAGUUCCCUCUGCUGCUGGUGGGGGACCAGAGCUGGAGAUUUCUCCCUGAGAGAGACCUGGAC